This 76-nucleotide transfer RNA is filed under the name Chryseobacterium sp. G0240. RNAcentral describes it as "tRNA-Val". It matches the Rfam family "tRNA". Rfam says of the family: Transfer RNA (tRNA) molecules are approximately 80 nucleotides in length. Lineage: Bacteria; Pseudomonadati; Bacteroidota; Flavobacteriia; Flavobacteriales; Weeksellaceae. The record is from RNAcentral.
CGCGGGUUAGAGCAGAGGUUAGCUUGCCAGUUUGACUUACUGGAGGUCGGGGGUUCGAGUCCCUCACCCGCUACAA